This 73-nucleotide transfer RNA is filed under the name Oscillatoria sp. SIO1A7. Its description in RNAcentral is "tRNA-Ile". It matches the Rfam family "tRNA". From Rfam's summary of the family: Transfer RNA (tRNA) molecules are approximately 80 nucleotides in length. The record is from RNAcentral. Lineage: Bacteria; Bacillati; Cyanobacteriota; Cyanophyceae; Oscillatoriales; Oscillatoriaceae.
GCGCCCUUGGCCGAGCGGUUUAGGCAGCGGACUCAUAAUCCGUUCCAGGGUGGUUCAACUCCACUAGGGCGCA